GGAUUAGAUACCCUGGUAGUCCACGCCGUAAACGAUGGACACUAGUUGUUGGGAUUUAUCUCAGUGACCAAGCGAAAGUGAUAAGUGUCCCACCUGGGGAGUACGGUCGCAAGAUUGAAACUCAAAGGAAUUGACGGGGGCCCGCACAAGCGGUGGAGCAUGUGGUUUAAUUCGAUGAUACGCGAGGAACCUUACCAGGGCUUAAAUGUAGGAUGCAUUAGCUAGAGAUAGCUAUUUCUUCGGACUUCUUACAAGGUGCUGCAUGGUUGUCGUCAGCUCGUGCCG
RNAcentral lists this ribosomal RNA (285 nucleotides) under uncultured bacterium. Its description in RNAcentral is "partial 16S ribosomal RNA". It matches the Rfam family "Bacterial small subunit ribosomal RNA", at positions 775 to 1067 of the family's 1533-position model. The record is from RNAcentral.